GAUGAACGCUGGCGGCGUGCCUAAUACAUGCAAGUCGAGCGAAUGAUGAGGAGCUUGCUCCUCUGAUUUAGCGGCGGACGGGUGAGUAACACGUGGGUAACCUGCCUGUAAGAUGGGGAUAACUCCGGGAAACCGGGGCUAAUACCGAAUAAUAAAAGAGGAAGCAUUUCUUCUUUUUGAAAGUUGGUUUCGGCUAACACUUACAGAUGGGCUCGCGGGGCAUUAGCUAGUUGGUGAGGUAACGGCGCACCAAGGCGACGAUGCGUAGCCGACCUGAGAGGGUGAUCGGCCACACUGGGACUGAGACACGGCCCAGACUCCUACGGGAGGCAGCAGUAGGGAAUCUUCGGCAAUGGGCGAAAGCCUGACCGAGCAACGCCGCGUGAGCGAGGAAGGCCUUCGGGUCGUAAAGCUCUGUUGUCAGGGAAGAACAAGUACGAGAGUAACUGCUCGUACCUUGACGGUACUUGACCAGAAAGCCACGGCUAACUACGUGCCAGCCGCCGCGGUAA
Molecule: ribosomal RNA, 512 nt
Filed under: uncultured bacterium
Lineage: Bacteria
Description: partial 16S ribosomal RNA
Rfam family: Bacterial small subunit ribosomal RNA
Source: RNAcentral